UAAAAUAGAUACUAUAUAUAAUGCAUGCUAGACUCAUGGAAUCACGUUCUAAACCUUUUGGAGUGACUUAAGGUCGUUGCACCUUCGAUUAACAUUAUGGACAUUAUACCAUCAAUAUGAGCUUCUAUAGGAUUCAAGGAUCAUACAUACUUGCUUAAAAUAACUUUAUAAGGAAAGAAUAACAUGAGCAACCUUAGUUUCUAGGAGUAGAUCCGUUAUGAAAUAGCGUAUUCAUUUCACUUUAGAUCAUGCCAAAAGAAAGAGGGAAGUACCUUAACAUACCUUAACCAUGGUGAGUCCUUAAUACCUCCCAAGCUACUCUUCAGACAACUCAACUCAAUCUACCAUUGCAUAAGGAGAUUCAAAUUAGUGUUGAAUAAAGGCUAAGUCUGCAAUUUAAACUUGUAGCUCGUUUAUAUAAAUUCGGGCAGCAUCUCCCCUGUAACAAGAGCCUCCUCCAAUAUCAUAUACCAACAACAAUUACCAGAGAAAUCCAGCAAUACAUAAUUAUUAUAAAAAGACACCAUAAAACAACAACAAGUCAUAACUAUUUUACGACGAGCGAUAAGCUCCAAUUGGAAUUCGUAUACCCCAUAUCAUCCCUUAUAGACUUUUUACUUUAACUUAAUAGUAUCAUUAACAUGAUAAUGAAGUCAUUCAUUAAUAAUUCCAGCCUUAUACCAUAUAUCCAUAACAAAGAAAAUGAUCCACAACUCCAAUUAUUCUUAAUUAGCAACUUUAUUCACUAGUUCAUGUCUAGUUCAUCCAUUUAACUUAACCGAUGUCAAUAUAACCUUAAGCACCUGUAGGAACACAAUAUAAUUACCUCCUACAGUAGAUGCAAGUCGAAAUCCAUGUUAUAUUUAGCUUACAAUAUCCCAAUACACCCAAUCAAUUCAUACCCAAAACAACGACUAUAGUAGUGUCAAACACCCUAAAUAUAUUACAAAGAAUGACUAAUCCAUCAUUUCGCCAUUAAGUGGUGUUUCUCCACACAAUUUAUCCUCCAAAAACUCCAUUAAAUAUCAGAAAAUUAUACAGCCUAAAAGCUACACGAAACAAUCCACAAAAUAGUCCAUUACAAAUCAAAUAACUCGAACUUACGGCUUUCGAUCGCCGUUCCGUGAGUUCUAACUAUUAUAAAAUGAAUUAAUCAACCUUACUUGAUAUUUAAGAUCUUAAAACCAGAAAUUAGGUAUUUUUAUUAACUUCAAAAUACCUUCCAAAACUCAAACUACAAAGAAAAAGAGAGGCAAUAUAACAAUACUUACGCUGUCGGGAUCGUUCUAGUGUUAUUGCUUCUUGAUUUUGUUCCCGGGAUGAUGGUAUUGUUUGAAACUCAUGUAGAGAGCUUAAGGGUGAUGUUAGGGGGUCUUAUUUAGUUGUG
This 1387-nucleotide long non-coding RNA is filed under the name Nicotiana tabacum (common tobacco). RNAcentral's name for it is "long non-coding RNA (NTAB_LNC019296)". The record is from RNAcentral. Lineage: Eukaryota; Viridiplantae; Streptophyta; Magnoliopsida; Solanales; Solanaceae.